This 1118-nucleotide long non-coding RNA is filed under the name Echeneis naucrates (live sharksucker). RNAcentral describes it as "lncRNA (ENSENLG00000010722.1)". Lineage: Eukaryota; Metazoa; Chordata; Actinopteri; Carangiformes; Echeneidae. The record is from RNAcentral.
CCGGAGUCUCAUCAGGACGUCAACGUCACACUGGGCGUUAAUGCCACGCUUGGCCUCAAUGCCACUCUGGGUGUCAAUUCCACCCUGGACGUCAUCACAGGGAACGUCGUGGUCAACAGCAGUGUCGCAGCACCCUCUGUCAUCAACAGGUCAACCCUGUACGGCUGCAUGCUCUCCACCUGUCUCACCGACAACCUGAGCUCCUCCCUGCAGGUCGGGGAUGAGAAGGCUGGAGAUUCCACCAACGAUGCCUUCGGCUAUGGAAAGAAGUGACAGGAAGCAUCUGCUGAUGAUCAGAACCUGCUCGUGAUGUGUUGACUGCUUGUUUCUUCAUUUAACCUUUACACUAAACCAAAUCAGUAACUGACCAGUUGCAGACUUCCAGCUUUCAUCAUCUGAUCUUCAUCUGUCAUUCAAUAUUAAAAUACAUCAGAUUACCCAUGAGCCUCAGCUGCUGCUGCUGGGAACAAGAUGUUUGUUGGUGAAAUGCAUCUUGGGAAUUUGACCUUCAGCUGGAGAAUCAAUAAACAGCUUUUUUAAAUAUGAGAUCAUCUCUCAUGACAGCAAACACACAACUAUAAGAAAACUACAGGACUACAGAACCACACAACGACUCAACAACACAAUCGCGCAAUUAAAGAACUACAUAUAUACACAAACAUACAAUUACUCAAGUACACAAACAUAUAACCACAACUACAAAAACUGUGCUUAACUACACAACCACACAGCUGAAAUUACACAUUAAACUGAAAUUUAAUGUCUGAACGAAAGACACAAAUCUUCACUAUGAUGUGUCUGAAAUAAUGCAUUUUGUUACAAUAACAACAGACUCUGUGCUCCAGUUACAGUCUGAAGGAUUCUCAUUUCACACAAAGUGGGUCUACAGUCUGUCCUCCAAUACAACAAAUAUGUAAUAUGUUUUUACGCUGAACACACAAAUUUUAUUUACAUCGAAAAAUAUGGGUUUUUUUCGAAAACAUCUGGAGAAAUCAUGGGGGCACAAAGGGACAACACCAACAGGUAAACAAACUGUUCCUGUUAAAUUACUGUGGCCAGUAAACACACUUGAAACAGUGACAGAUGUCUCUCACACCAUGUGUUGUGUUCUGGUUGUG